RNAcentral lists this long non-coding RNA (279 nucleotides) under Sorghum bicolor (sorghum). RNAcentral's name for it is "long non-coding RNA (SBIC_LNC008261)". Lineage: Eukaryota; Viridiplantae; Streptophyta; Magnoliopsida; Poales; Poaceae. The record is from RNAcentral.
CUGACUGGCUCGUUUUGCCCGGGGGUUUCGACGUACUCUCGAUAGAGCGAGCGUCUUCCACCCCAAAUUGAGUUCCUGGCGGGUAGUCCAAGUGAGAACCUGUGCCCCUUUCGAGGGGGUCAGCUGUAGCCCGGAGGCGUUCUCAUAAAGCGGGAUCGACGUGGUCGGGGAUACCAGUCUCAUUCGAUAGAGACCGGCGGCUCGAUGCCUCCCGUCGGGGGGAUUCCUCUCGACUGUCUCGACCCUACCUUGAACAUCGCCAGCGAGUCCUCGAGGCGG